CUACGUGCCAGCAGCCGCGGUAAUACGGAGGAUGCGAGCGUUAUCCGGAUUUAUUGGGUUUAAAGGGUGCGUAGGCGGCCUGUUAAGUCAGCGGUGAAAUCUAGGAGCUUAACUCCUAAAUUGCCAUUGAUACUGGCGGGCUUGAGUGUAGAUGAGGUAGGCGGAAUGCGUGGUGUAGCGGUGGAAUGCAUAGAUAUCACGCAGAACUCCGAUUGCGAAGGCAGCUUACUAAGGUACAACUGACGCUGAAGCACGAAAGCGUGGGUAUCAAACAGGAUUAGAUACCCUGGUAGUCCACGCAGUAAACGAUGAUAACUGGGCGUAUGCGAUAUACAGUAUGCUCCUAAGCGAAAGCGUUAAGUUAUCCACCUGGGGAGUACGCCGGCAACGGUGAAACUCAAAGGAAUUGACGGGGGCCCGCACAAGCGGAGGAACAUGUGGUCUAAUUCGAUGAUACGCGAGGAACCUUACCCGGGCUUGA
This 481-nucleotide ribosomal RNA is filed under the name uncultured bacterium. RNAcentral's name for it is "bacterial SSU rRNA". It matches the Rfam family "Bacterial small subunit ribosomal RNA", at positions 501 to 984 of the family's 1533-position model. The record is from RNAcentral.